Molecule: ribosomal RNA, 330 nt
Filed under: uncultured eukaryote
Lineage: Eukaryota
Description: partial 18S ribosomal RNA
Rfam family: Eukaryotic small subunit ribosomal RNA
Source: RNAcentral
CCCUUAGAUGUCCUGGGCCGCACGCGCGCUACACUGAGUGUCUGAGAUACGAGUCUGCCUGGUCCGGCAAGGUCUAGGUAAUCGCUAAAAGACACAUCAUGCUUGGGAUAGAUUAUUGCAAAUAUUAAUCUUGAACGAGGAAUUCCUAGUAAGCGCAAGUCAACAGCUUGCGUUGAUUACGUCCCUGCCCUUUGUACACACCGCCCGUCGCUACUACUGAUUGGAUGUUUAAGCGAGGUUCUCGAACUGCUAGCGACUUAGCUUCGGUGAGGUCGCAGUGUGGGAAGUGAACCUAGCUUUGGUGUCUAGAGGAAGUAAAAGUCGUAACAA